UACGUAGGGACCAAGCGUUGUUCGGAUUUACUGGGCGUAAAGGGUGCGUAGGCGGGUCUUUAAGUCAGGGGUGAAAUCCUGGAGCUCAACUCCAGAACUGCCUUUGAUACUGAAGAUCUUGAGUUCGGGAGAGGUGAGUGGAACUGCGAGUGUAGAGGUGAAAUUCGUAGAUAUUCGCAAGAACACCAGUGGCGAAGGCGGCUCACUGGCCCGAUACUGACGCUGAGGCACGAAAGCGUGGGGAGCAAACAGG
Molecule: ribosomal RNA, 253 nt
Filed under: uncultured bacterium
Lineage: Bacteria
Description: partial 16S ribosomal RNA
Rfam family: Bacterial small subunit ribosomal RNA
Source: RNAcentral